GCCCGCUUGGCACAGUGGUAAUGCGGUUAGUUCACUUGACUCCCCUUCCUUAUUCAUCCAGCUGACGGAAACGGUUAGUCUCACUCGUACUGAAUUUACGGCAAUGAGAAGAUCCACGGUUCGAUUCCGUGAGUGGGCA
Amylocarpus encephaloides is the source of this 139-nucleotide non-coding RNA. NCBI's taxonomy places the organism in Eukaryota, Fungi, Ascomycota, Leotiomycetes, Helotiales. The record is from the annotation of a GenBank genome assembly.